RNAcentral lists this ribosomal RNA (402 nucleotides) under uncultured bacterium. RNAcentral's name for it is "bacterial SSU rRNA". It matches the Rfam family "Bacterial small subunit ribosomal RNA", at positions 355 to 774 of the family's 1533-position model. The record is from RNAcentral.
UGGGGAAUCUUGGACAAUGGGGGCAACCCUGAUCCAGCGAUGCCGCGUGAGCGAAGAAGGCCUUAGGGUUGUAAAGCUCUUUCGCCCGCGACGAUGAUGACGGUAGCGGGAGACGAAGCCCCGGCUAACUCCGUGCUAGCAGCCGCGGUAAUACGGAGGGGGCUAGCGUUGUCCGGAAUUACUGGGCGUAAAGCGCGCGUAGGCGGUCCACCAAGUCGGGGGUGAAAGCCCGGGGCUCAACCCCGGAAUGUCCUCCGAGACUGUUGGACUGGAGUUCGGGAGAGGAGAGCGGAAUUCCCAGUGUAGAGGUGAAAUUCGUAGAUAUUGGGAAGAACACCGGUGGCGAAGGCGGCUCUAUGGCCCGCAACUGACGCUGAGGCGCGAAAGCGUGGGGAGCAAACA